AAUCUCUGAUGUGUGUUUUGGGUCUGCAGGUCUGGAGAGAAGAUCUCCUGUGUGGUCGAACACGCCAGCCUGAAGAAACCUCUGGUUACUGACUGGGACCCGUCCAUGCCUGAGUCUGAGAGGAACAAGAUCGCCAUCGGGGCGUCAGGACUGAUCCUGGGUCUGGUCUUGUCUCUGGCUGGAUUCAUCUACUACAAGAGGAAGGCCCGAGGAAGGAUUCUGGUUCCCAGUAACUGAUCCUGGACCUGAAGCUGUUUGUCAGACGGAAUAAAAAUCAGCUGCUGCUUCAACCUGCUUCAUGACUGUCAACGCUGCAACACCUGAUCCUCCGAGGGCACAGAGCUGGACUCACCUGAUCCAGGACCCAGGGAGUCACAGUCCUGGA
Non-coding RNA from Plectropomus leopardus (leopard coralgrouper), 385 nucleotides. The record is from RefSeq and is a predicted model, not a curated record. Lineage: Eukaryota; Metazoa; Chordata; Actinopteri; Perciformes; Serranidae.